ACCAGAUAAGAAAAAGUUCACCCUGUGCUGUCUGGUCCACCCCAGAUGUCAUCACAGUAUGCUAAUGAGCCGGGGGCCUUUAAGUGCCAGAGCCCAGCAGGCAGACCGGUUAAGGAGCUCCAGACGUGGACCCAUCUCAGCCAUGAAAAAUGAACACGUGAAGGAAAGCGUCAGCGGCGCGUGAAAGAUGGCACUGCCACACUGCAUGCAAAAAGGUUCCUAACACUGGAACUCGCUGCUUACUGUUAUGUCUUGUGCCCUGGACAGGAUAUCAUCUUAUACUGUAAGUUUAUUAAAGAGACACUACAGUAUAGAUGAUGUACUAUCCAGGGUUUCAUUCCCCCGCCGGCACCAUCACGCCUAACUGACUGUGGCAGGCUGCACACACGCUGCAGAGGAGGACCGUCAAACCGUUACCAUUACUGAGUUUCAGCAAUGGUAAGGGUUAUACGGCCCUCGCUCAAUGUCAUCUGGAGACGGAGGAUAAAGAAAGUUGGUGAUUGAUGUGUUACACAAGAGCUUCUAGAGGCCAUCUUUAGAUCCCAUUUUUGAGACAUACUUGUGGAUGCAUGUCAAAUAAAGUUUAUGGCUCCCAAA
This is a long non-coding RNA of Etheostoma cragini (Arkansas darter), 597 nucleotides long. RefSeq lists it as uncharacterized. Lineage: Eukaryota; Metazoa; Chordata; Actinopteri; Perciformes; Percidae. The record is from RefSeq and is a predicted model, not a curated record. The transcript is spliced from 2 exons.